UACGUAGGGUGCAAGCGUUGUCCGGAAUUAUUGGGCGUAAAGAGCGCGUAGGCGGCCCGACAAGUCCGCUGUGAAAGUCAGGGGCUCAACCCUUGAAUGCCGGUGGAUACUGUCGGGCUAGAGUCCGGAAGAGGCGAGUGGAAUUCCUGGUGUAGCGGUGAAAUGCGCAGAUAUCAGGAGGAACACCAAUGGCGAAGGCAGGUCUCUGGGCUAUAACUGACGCUCAUGCACGAAAGCGUGGGGAGCAAACAGG
Molecule: ribosomal RNA, 253 nt
Filed under: uncultured bacterium
Lineage: Bacteria
Description: partial 16S ribosomal RNA
Rfam family: Bacterial small subunit ribosomal RNA
Source: RNAcentral